This is a long non-coding RNA of Rosa rugosa (rugosa rose), 682 nucleotides long. RefSeq lists it as uncharacterized. The transcript has 5 exons. NCBI's taxonomy places the organism in Eukaryota, Viridiplantae, Streptophyta, Magnoliopsida, Rosales, Rosaceae. The record is from RefSeq and is a predicted model, not a curated record.
UUCUCUUAAUAAUGUUUACGGUUGUGGUUUGACGAAUCUACUCGCCUGGAUGUAUCUAUGAUUUCUGUUCUGCUGCUUUUCCAAUUUGAUUUCGACAUUCACUUUGGGGUUGUCUGUAUAUCGAUCUCCAAUGAAAUGGAUAUAUCAGAGUCUGGGGCUAAAAACCCAUUGAUGCUUUUGUCUACUUGAAGUGUAUUUGGUAAUUGAUGCUAUUUUGUUCGGGCGAAGCUGGCCUCCAUGGGUGGUGAUGACCAAGGGAGAUUGAAGCAUUUGGAGAAUGCUGAGAGUCUGUUGAUACUCAAUUGAAUAAAUAAGGUGACACCACCUCAUUGUCAUCUGAGCUUCACAAACAUUGUGAGUGGAGACCUUAGACUAGACUCAUAAGCCCAAAAGCAAUGUACAGAUUAAAUUUGGAGAUUUUACUACUACAAGAGGUGUCAAUAAAAAGAGAACAUCAUUACCAGAGAGUCUCUGUAAGACACCAUUGGCCUGCCCAGGGAAAUAGAAAAAGAGAAAUACGAAUGGGAUCAAGAAGACAAGAAGCACUUGGAUAUCUUCCACUGGAUUGACAUCUACGUGUAGAAGACUUUUCUGAAUAGCUUGAAGGCAGUUGGUUUCAAUAUUAGUAGGAAUAAGAAUACAAGGGUGCUCUUAUUUUAGUUCAAAAACGACCUCAUGAUUA